UCCUUGAUGGUCUAGUGGUUAUGAUUUCCGCUUGUCAAGAAUUCCUUACAAGCGCGGGAGACCAGGGUUCGAUUCCCUGUCAGGGAG
Molecule: non-coding RNA, 87 nt
Organism: Aspergillus candidus
Lineage: Eukaryota; Fungi; Ascomycota; Eurotiomycetes; Eurotiales; Aspergillaceae
Source: the annotation of a RefSeq genome assembly